Molecule: ribosomal RNA, 485 nt
Filed under: uncultured Sphingobacteriales bacterium
Lineage: Bacteria; Pseudomonadati; Bacteroidota; Sphingobacteriia; Sphingobacteriales
Description: bacterial SSU rRNA
Rfam family: Bacterial small subunit ribosomal RNA
Source: RNAcentral
GAAACUCAAAUGAAUUGACGGGGCCCGCACAAGCGGAGGAACAUGUGGUUUAAUUCGAUGAUACGCGAGGAACCUUACCUGGGCUUAAAUGUAGAGUGCAUUUUUUAGAGAUAGAAAUUCCCUUCGGGGCUUUCUGCAAGGUGCUGCAUGGUUGUCGUCAGCUCGUGCCGUGAGGUGUCGGGUUAAGUCCCAUAACGAGCGCAACCCUUAUCGUUAGUUGCCAUCUGGUAAUGCAGGGGACUCUAGCGAAACUGCCACCGUAAGGUGAGAGGAAGGUGGGGAUGACGUUAAAUCAGCACGGCCCUUAUGUCCAGGGCUACACACGUGUUACAAUGGUCGGUACAGAGGGCAGCUACCUGGUGACAGGAUGCUAAUCUCGAAAACCGGUCUCAGUUCGGAUCGAAGUCUGCAACUCGACUUCGUGAAGCUGGAUUCGCUAGUAAUCGCGCAUCAGCUAUGGCGCGGUGAAUACGUUCCCGGGCCUU